Molecule: ribosomal RNA, 1200 nt
Filed under: Diaporthe fructicola
Lineage: Eukaryota; Fungi; Ascomycota; Sordariomycetes; Diaporthales; Diaporthaceae
Description: partial 28S ribosomal RNA
Source: RNAcentral
GGGGGCGGGGUAUGGGCGGUACGCUUGAGCGCCAUCCAUUUUCAGGGCUAGUACAUUCGGCAGGUGAGUUGUUACACAGUCCUUAGCGGAUUCCGACUUCCAUGGCCACCGUCCUGCUGUCAAGAUGUACUAACGCCUUUUGUGGUGUCUGAUGAGCGUACACUCUGGCGCCUUAACCCCGCGUUCGGUUCAUCCCGCAUCGCCAGUUCUGCUUACCAAAAAUGGCCCACUAGUGUUGGUACAUUCGAAUGCCCACGUUCAACUAAGUAACAAGGGCUUCUUACAUAUUUAAAGUUUGAGAAUGGAUGAAGGCAAUAUAUAGCCCCCGAGUCCCUAAUCAUUCGCUUUACCUCAUAAAACUGAAGAUCAACACUGCUAUCCUGAGGGAAACUUCGGCGGUAACCAGCUACUAGACAGUUCGAUUAGUCUUUCGCCCCCAUGCUCAUAUUUGACGAUCGAUUUGCACGUCAGAACCGCUGCGAGCCUCCACCAGAGUUUCCUCUGGCUUCACCCUAUACAAGCAUAGUUCACUGUCUUUCGGGUCCGUCCGUUAAAACUCUUACUCAAAUCCUUCCGAGAACAUCAGGAUCGGUCGAUGAUGCGCCGAAGCUCUCACCUGCGUUCACUUUCAUUACGCGUGCGGGUUUUACACCCAAACGCUCGCUCUAAUGGACGACUCCUUGGUCCGUGUUUCAAGACGGGUCACUGAUGACCAUUACGCCAGCAUCCUUGCCGAAGCGCGGUCCUCGGUCCCCGCGAGGGUAUCGUCCGCCGGGCUAUAACACACCCCGGAGGGUGCUACGUUCCCGUCGGUCUUAUCCCCCCGCGAAAACCGAUGCUGGCCUGUGCCGGGCGGAGUGCACAGGGGAGAACCCCUGAUGAGCCGCCCGGCCCAAGUCUGGUCAUAAGUGCUUCCCUUUCAACAAUUUCACGUACUAUUUAACCCCCUUUUCAAGGUGCUUUUCAUCUUUCGAUCACUCUACUUGUGCGCUAUCGGUCUCUGGCCGGUAUUUAGCUUUAGAAGAGAUUUACCUCCCAUUUAGAGCAGCAUUCCCAAACUACUCGACUCGUCGAAGGAGCUUCACACAGGCUUGGUGUCCGACCAUACGGGGCUCUCACCCUCUGUGGCGUCCCGUUCCAGGGAACUCGGAAGGCACCGCGCCAGAAGCAUCCUCUGCAAAUUACAACUCGGGCCGAGGC